This is a long non-coding RNA of Gallus gallus (chicken), 582 nucleotides long. NCBI's taxonomy places the organism in Eukaryota, Metazoa, Chordata, Aves, Galliformes, Phasianidae. The record is from Ensembl.
CGGAGAUCUUCUUAAUCCAGGACUGACAAGACACAUGUAUUUAAAAUAAAUACAUUCUGUGAGCUGCUGCUGUGGAAGUGUCUGUAAUACCCAGUGAGUGCAGAGAAGCAGCCUCUUUGCCAAUACAUGCUGGCACUGUCCUUUUGAGCUGAAUGGAUGAACCUUGAGUUAUUCCAGAUGACUGUUUUAGGGAGUUGUCUUGUAGCAAGUAUUCAUUCCACAGCAAAAUAACAAGACUGGGUGCAGACUGGAUGUAGUCGCCGUGUGGAGGCAGAAGGGUUUUCGUGGAGCUCCCCAUGCUGUGUGAGGAAGAGGAUGCUUUGCACUGUGUGAAACUAGCAAAAGGGCAGAGGUACGGAUAGCCUCUCCCACACAAAUCCACGCUGAGUAGAGGAAUAGCACUUUCUGGACACAGAAUUCUUUGGAUGGUCACUUAGAAUUAAAUGAACAGCGCUGUCACCUAUAGUGGAAGAAGGCAGAACACCCUGUUUCUGCUGACUCAGCAGCAACAGCUUCCUGCGUUUGCCCUGAGAUGGGUGGUGAUGGCAGGUUGCAAAUAUAACAGCCUCAGAGAAAGUGCCC